UUUAUUUGGACCACGUGUCCAGUUUGGAUUCGCCAAAGUGGCAUUAUCGGAAAGUUUUCCGAUAAAUAAGUUUUAGCAGGUCGGUUUUAGAAAAGAUAAUUUCGGAGAAAAUUUAUAUUAUAUUUCAAUUCUGAAGUUAGAAUUGGAAUAAAAAGGAAAAAUGUCAAGAAAAGUCCAAAAUGAAGUACAGGGACCAAAGUGGUAAUUUAGCCACUUUGUGUCGAAAAUAGAAAUACGGAAUUUUGACGGGAAAGUGUUAAAAUCAAGCUUUGUAUUAUUUAUAGAAUAUAAAUAAUACGUAUAAGUUAUAAUAGAAGAGUUAAUCGAUUUAGUUAUGGACUAAAUCGUACGAAAGAAAAGUUAGAAAGAUAAAUUGUAACAAGGAAGGAAAGGAAGGACUAAAACAGACGUUUAGCCAUGUAUAUAUAAGAGAAAACCUUUGAAUGAAGGAUGUAUCAGAGGUAAGAAUCCAGAAGCUUGAAGUUUUCCACCGAUCACUUCGUUUCUUCACGGUUUCUUCGUUCGACGUCCGAAUCAAGCGGUUUUCGCGUCGAUUUCUUCGAAAUUGAAAGCUCUAUCAUCUCCAAGCUUCAAAUCAAGACGUACGACCGAGCGGUGAGGGCACUAGGGGUGUACUAGCACGAGCAUAUUACCACAUCGAUCUUGUUGUAGAGUGGAUAGCGGUCACUGUGCUUAGCUUCUGGACUUAGCUAGAGGACAAUUU
Long non-coding RNA from Mercurialis annua (annual mercury), 724 nucleotides. RefSeq lists it as uncharacterized. Lineage: Eukaryota; Viridiplantae; Streptophyta; Magnoliopsida; Malpighiales; Euphorbiaceae. The record is from RefSeq and is a predicted model, not a curated record. The transcript is spliced from 3 exons.